Molecule: transfer RNA, 72 nt
Filed under: Bacteroidota bacterium
Lineage: Bacteria; Pseudomonadati; Bacteroidota
Also listed under: 1 other name
Description: tRNA-Gly
Rfam family: tRNA
About the family: Transfer RNA (tRNA) molecules are approximately 80 nucleotides in length.
Source: RNAcentral
GCGGAUGUAAUUCAGUGGUAGAAUGCCACCUUCCCAAGGUGGACGUCGCGGGUUCGAGCCCCGUCUUCCGCU